Molecule: ribosomal RNA, 500 nt
Filed under: uncultured bacterium
Lineage: Bacteria
Description: partial 16S ribosomal RNA
Rfam family: Bacterial small subunit ribosomal RNA
Source: RNAcentral
ACUCAAAUGAAUUGACGGGGGCCCGCACAAGCGGUGGAGGAUGUGGUUUAAUUCGACGCAACGCGAAGAACCUUACCUGGGCUUGAACUGCUAGGUAAACCCUUGGAAACAGGGGCUGGUAGCAAUACCGACCUAGUAGAGGUGCUGCAUGGCUGUCGUCAGCUCGUGUCGUGAGAUGUUGGGUUAAGUCCCGCAACGAGCGCAACCCUUGUCGUUUGUUACCAGCGAGUCAUGUCGGGGACUCAAACGAGACUGCCGGUGGUAAACCGGAGGAAGGUGGGGAUGACGUCAAGUCCUCAUGGCCCUUACGUCCAGGGCUACACACGUCCUACAAUGGCCGGAACAACGGGAUGCAAGACCGCAAGGUGGAGCCAAUCCUCAAAUCCGGUCUCAGUUCAGAUUGCAGUCUGCAACUCGACUGCAUGAAGUUGGAAUCGCUAGUAAUCGCGGAUCAGCACGCCGCGGUGAAUACGUUCCCGGGCCUUGUACACACCGCCCGU